AAUUUCGUGUUCUCCAAACCGAGACUUGUUCAGAGUCAUUGAAAGCCUUCAAUUUCUGACCUUGUACUAGGAAGGUCCUUCCUGCUUCAUCUGUUUCUAGAUACUUUAAAAACCAUCUAAAGUAAUUGAAAAGACCAUGCGGAAAAAGUUAACUGCUGUUGUACUUGGCGAGGCUGAUGGAUUUUUUCUUUAUUGAUGGGCCUGAGUUGGCCCGUCCGCCCAAGUUGGGCCCAAAAAGCCCGGCCCACGGGAAUAGGGCCCGUGGAUGGGGGAAGGUAUAAAAGGGAGGAGAGAGAGAGAGAGAGAGAAGACACCCUUUGGCCAUUCUAACGUACGCUUCUCACUCUCUCUUUCCCUCCAAACGCUUAAGGCACGUUGUUUCCCUUUUCAAGGCAAAUUGACAUCAUCGAAUCAGAAUUUCUUCCUCGAUCUUCAGCAUUGGUGUUUAAUCUGUGGCUAACAAGGUACGCUCGAAUCCGUGGUGUGCUUUAGGAUCGGUGAUACGUGAUUUUCCCGGGCUUCGCUUCCGCAUUGAUUUAGGGGUUCGAUUUAGUGUCGAAUCCGGUUUUCGGGGAUCCGUUAUUCUCAACAUUGGUAUCAGAGCCCUAGUUCGCGUUUUCCCGAUCUGUUUUUAUGUUUUUGUUUGAUUUUUCGCGAAAGAAAUUCGGCCGUACGGAUUGGCGCGAGAAAUCCCGACACCCGAGCACUGUUCGUCCUUUUUUCUGAGUUUCCGUAAGUCAAAAUCAAUUUCUAAAGGCACUGGGUGAAAGAGGACGCCGAGACGAGUCCGGCGACAUGUCACGCGCUGCCGGGAGACGCCGCACGUGCCCACACGCGCGGCCAGAAGCCGCUGCGCGUGGGCGCGACGCGCCAGGAAGCGCUGGCUUCGCCAGCGCGUGCGCCACACGCGCCGGUGGCGAAUCGGCAUGUGCGCGCCGGCGGCCGGCGAACCGGCACGCGCCGGUCGGCGGACCGACGCGUGUUGACGUCACCGUGACGUCACGGUAACCGCCGGGAUGACGUCAUCGGUGACGUCAUCGCCGACGACCGUUAGCCGGCCGGCGACCCGACCCGACCCAACGGCGACCCGACCCGACCCGAACCCGCGGAGCUUGGCAUGCGUGCGUCAUGUGCCGGCUGACGUCUGCGUGACGUCAGCCGCGCACGCAUGCGGAACGUGCGGUCGGUUCGUCCGACCCGGUCUGUCCGGUCCGACGUCCGACGACCGUUGACCGUUGACCGACGACCGUUGACCGUUGACCAUUGACCGGAAAAAAAAGAAAAAAAGAAGUAAUUGUUUUUCUUUUUCAUGUAUGCCUAUGUGGUUUAUAUGUAAUCAAUUAUUUAUUCUGCAUUUGUUGCAUGAAUUUUGAAAAAUUAUGUAUUUUCCCUUAUGUAAAUUAUGGAUUAUGAGUAAUCCAUUUUUAGGUUUGCAUUUGUUGCAGGAACUAUGAUGCGUUAUGCACAGAUACCUGCAAUCCCGAGAACAGACGAGGGAAAUGCAAGACUUAAAAGGCUGAUUUUAGAUUUAGCUAAUUAUCGGUGGCAUAAUGGUGAUUUAGUAUCACAUGUGGUCAAGGUCAAUAAGAUGAUACAAGAAAUCAUCAGUAAUGGUCAUCUUAUGCCGGAUUUUGAGAAGAUGCCGGUUUUGAUGAACACUCUUCCACCUGAAUGGUAAGCAGUGUUAGAUCGGCUAUGGGAGGUCAACGUGGUCCCGGGUUAUAGGAGGCUGGUGGAAGCUUUUGUAAGAGAGCACUAUAUGAUUGAGUUAACCAAAACUUCAACCCUUAGGUUGAACGCCACUUGGCGCAGAGUGAAUGCGCCUUGGUGGCGAUAUGAAUGCUCUCCAAAAGUUUUUCCAUGAUUGGCAAAUGUGCCUUCAGUUUUCUCAGAUGUUUUGAUUGAUAGAUUAGAAGGGACAUUCCCUAUUUAUUUCUUUGAUUAAUUAUGUAAUGUUUACUACCUGAUUGUUGUUGAUGUUUAAUCGAUAUGUUAGUUGUAUCAUGUGAAAGCAUUGUUAUUUUGUUGGAUGUUAAGAUUUUAUUUGCUUUCUGUUAUUGUUGGUUUCUAUGGGUAAUUAGCUGUGGGUAGUAAUAGAAGUUUUUGUAACUUCAUAGAAUUUAUUUGCAUAAGACAAUUAUAUUAAUAAUAAUUUUGAGUUAGGAUUUUUGGAGGAUGAUUGGAAAUAUAGUGACCUUUUGAUUCUGAAGCCUUACUUGAAAUUAUUCAUUAAUAUGAUGGGUCUAUGCAAAUAGGGAUGCAUAAAUGAUAGGCAUUAAUUAUUCGUGCAUGUAUGUCUGAUGUGUUCAGAACGAUGGUUCAGCAACUAAGAAUGUAAUUGCUGACAUGAACGGCAACAAUUGUGAAAUAUUGAAUAUGAAGAUUCAAUAUGUGCUGGAAAAGCAAGAAGCACUAGAAGUUCUUGACCAUGUUAUGGAAGAUCUUGAGGAUGCCAUGCGCCACCUUAAGCUAGCUGAGGACCGCCUAACGGCAUUUGAGCCGAAAAUAGAUAUUUUCAAUGCUGGUUCUAGCUCAGAAAGGGCUUUAUGCUCUAAGCGCAAGCGUAUUGAUUCGGUCAAUAUGUGGGAAUGCAAAGGAUCAAGUCCUUCUUGCAAGAAAUCAAGAGUUAACCAACACAAGAGAGGAAAACGUCCUCAAGUGAAGAAAAUGUCAAGGGUGAGAUGUUACAAUUGUGACAAGAGAGGUUACUAUGCUCGCGACUAUCGUGAGCCAAAGAAGGUAUACACCUCUUGUACAUUUGAGAACUUUGCUUAUGUGUCAAGUUCUGCAUUAUAGGCUGAAUCCAAUCCUUUGUGGAAUGUAGAUUCAUGAGCGACAGACCAUGUAGCAAAAGAUAGAGGAUCCUUCGUGGAAUUCCGACGAUACCAAUUGGAACUAAGUGGAUCAAUGUAGGAAAUAACUCAAGAGCUGAGAGUUAAAGGAAUUGGCACCUGCCAAUUGAACAUGCGCGGUGGACGCACCCUGUUCCUACAUGAUAUUCCAUAUGCUCCGGAGAUUCGUCGAAAUUUAAGUGUCUGUUUUGAUGUUGGUUAAGCUUGGUUUUAGUGUGAACUUCCAUAAUAGCUAUGUCGAUUUGUAUUUGGAUACAAACUACUAUAAUUGUGGUCACUUUCUGGAUGGUUUUAUUGUACUAGAUGUUGACUGUGGCGAUGUCAAUAUUUGUUAUUCCCUUGUUUCACGUCUUCUACUUAAUAUGAUAAUGAUGUGAUUAUGUGGCAUGCUAGACUUGGUCAUAUUGGCCAACAACAUAUGAAUAGACUAGCCAAAGAGGGCUUGUUGGGCAAUAUUGAAAAAGUCGAUUUGUCCAUAUGUGAGCAUUGCCUAGUAGGGAAAAUGACAAGGAAACCAUUUGGAAAAGGUAAAAGAGCUUAAUUUCCUCUGCAUUUAAUCCAUUUGGACGUCUGUGGUUCAAUGAAUGUGAGAGGAAGGCAUGGGGCUGUUUAUUUCAUCACAUUUAUUGAUGAUUAUACUCGAUUCGGAUAUGUCUAUUUGAUUUCUCAUAAAUCUAAAGCAAUAAGUUGUUUCAAAAGGUUUAUGAACCUGGUAGAAAAUCAAUUAGACAAGAAAAUAAAAGCAUUGAGAUCUGAUCGAGGUCGAGAAUAUUUAUUUGAUGAGUUCAGAAAAUUAUGUGAUGAAAAAGGAAUAAAAAGACAGUUGUCUAUUCCGUAUACUCCUCAACAAAAUGGUGUUGCAGAGAGAAUAAACAGAACCCCACUGGAAUGGUUAGGUCCAAGAUGGCGCAUGCUAACUUACCUAUCACUUUUUGGAGUGAUGCGUUGUUAACUGCUGCCAAUAUACUUAACCGGAUGCCUUUCAAAUCAGUUAUUUCCACUUCAUAUGAGUUAUGGACAGUUAGAAAACCGGACUUAAGUUUUCUUAAGCCAUGGGGUUGUGCUGCCUAUAUUCAUGAGUCCUCUCACAAGUUUGGGAAAUUGGGUCCCAAAGAAAAUAAGAGUAUUUUCAUGAGAUACUGCGAACACUCAAAAGGGUAUGUGUUCAUAGGUGAGCAGGAAAGUGGGAGUAUAAUUGAAUUUGAAUCACGAGAUGUCUCAUCCUUAGUGGAUGAAUUUCCUAAGAGGGGCGAAAUAAGGGAAAAUUACUCCCUAUUUGAAACCUUGGAUCAAGAUAAUGAUGUCAGUGGAGCUCGUCCAAGUGGGAGUAAUAUGAGAUGUGAUGAAUUGAAUUCAACUCAUUCUCAAUUGCAAUCACCUGAUGUGACGACAUCAUCAUUACCUAAUCCAAGUGAGAGCAUGGUGGGGAAUGAUGUGCUAAGUGUACAAUCUCCCAUACGGUGAACAAGUCGCCAAAGUAUUCCCCGUCAAUGUUUUGACAUUGAAAGGGAAACUUUUAUGGUUGCUCCACAAGAUGAGGAUGAGCCAAGAAAUAUUAAUGAUGCUCUGAAUUGCCCUAAUAAGGAAAAAUGGAUUCAUGCAAUGAAAGAAGAAAUGGAGUUAAUGAAAUCAAAUCAAGUCUGGGAACUGGUUGAUCUUCCAAAAGGACACAAAGCUAUUGGGAACAAGUGGGUUCUCAAAAUAAAGCGAAAGGCUGAUGGCUCGAUAAAAAAGCAUAAGGCUCGCCUUGUGGCGAAAGGGGUAUAAUCAACAGGAAGAAAUUGAUUAUGAAGAUAUAUUUUCUCCUGUAGUGAGAUUUACCUCGAUUCGCAUUAUUCUAGCAAUAAUGGCAAGUAUGGAUCUUGAGUCACAUCAAAUGGAUGUAAAGACUGAUUUUCUUAAUGGAGAAUUAUAGGAAGAAAUAUAUGGAACAACCUGCUGGUUUCAUAAUGAAAGGCCAAGAAGAAAAGGUAUAUCGAUUUUUAAGGUCGAUAUAUGGCCGUUGUUGACACCUAAUUUUUUGCCCAAAUUAUUGCAUAUAGAUUAAUUAAUUUAAAAAAAAAAAAGAGAAAAAAGAUUUAAAAAAAAAAAAGAAAAAAAGUUGUGGCCAAUGAUCUAAAUGUGACUAGCCAAGCCUAGGAGGUCAGAUUGGAAUUAAAAUGGCAAAUUGGGGCAAAAAUGCAAUUUCCAAAAGUUGAGGGACCAAUUCGCAAAUUUUGCAAAAUUUCACCCGAGCCCUUAAAUCAUCAUCUUAGCCCCCAAUUAAGUUGAAAUUGAACUUGGGUCAGGUCUAAUUAAUCGAAUCGGGCAAAAAGGACCUAAUUGCAUUGAAUUUGACAUUUUCGGGCAAGAAAAUGGCCAACUUUGAGGGACUCUCUUGCAAAAUUGGGUGGAGACAAUUACGAAAAAUGGUCAAGAUAUUAAACUACUAUACAUGAGGUUGCUAAUUGAUCAGAAACCGCGGCCAAAUUGAUGGAUUAAAGCACACAAACUAGCUACCAAAACCCAGCCCACGGUUAGGUCUUAAUUCGGAGCUGAUAAGUAGGCGUAUUGGUGGCCCCACCAUAUCUCACUCAGCCGCCCAUAUAGCUCGAUAUUUGCACGUGAUGGAAGACCAUAUAUAGCAGUGCAAGUGGACGGAAAUUGACCAAGGAUAAGCUCCUGACAGCACCGGAAAAUCGCAGCAAAACCUGCACACUCAACAGCUGCAGAAUUAAAAAAUUGGCUUAAGUCAGGAGAGUGGGUGGACUAGCUCAGUUGGCAGGCUUGGUAGGGGGGAAAAAAGCUGACCAAAAAUCCCUCAAUUCAGGGGAUAAGAUCACAGAAGCAAGGUCUUUCAAGCGAGGAGAGAGAGGAGACGAGAGGGACAGGAGAGAGCUCGGAAUCGUCCCCCAAAGAGGCCCUCAGAAGCAACUCCAGAAAAGCAAACCCAGAAAUUCCAGAUCAACCUUCUGAGAGAAAAGUGAGAUUUUCGUAAACCUGCAGCCAAAAUUAGCCAAAACCUUAAACUAGAGAGUGAAACUUCACUUAAAUAUCUUUCCAUCCAUAGGUCGUACGUCCAAAAUGGAUAUCUGGAAGGCCUCCUAAAGCCCCCCGAAACAGUGCCCUCCUGUCGGGCCAAGAAAGUCCGAAAUUUUUCUAAGUGUCGAGACUGGUUGGUCACGAGUGAGGAAAGCCAGUGUUUUUGAGAAAGUUGAGAGACAAAUGAGGAAAAUAUUGACUUUUAACCCAGACUAGAAUACAUAUAGUUUGGCGUGGUGUCAAUUUUUCCAACAAAAUACGUCUUGAAGUCUAAUGUUAGAGCUCAACGAAAACCUUCGUUGUCAGUUCGUUUUUUUUGCAGAUCUCAUUUCCAGUUGAAGAAGUCAACUUCCACAGGCCCCCGAGGAUAAUUUGUCGGUUUCAUCGGCCAAGAACCACUUGAAAAAGAAACUAGGAAGAAAGGUAAGCACCCUAGAUGUAUUUAUUUUCGAGUUUGAGCAUGUUUUGAUCAUGAAAAUCAAGAGGAAAACCGGCCCGGAAAACUGAUUUCUGAGGUUGAAAUUUUUCCAAGUGUUUGAAAUCUCUUCAAGAGUAUUGCAUGUGUGCUUCUUGGAGAGGUCGUUUUGAUGUUGUUCGGUGGGUCAUUCUCUGUGAUGUUUAUUGCAUUUGAAAGCUCAUGUUACCUACUUUCAUUCGGAUCAAGUAAUGUUUCCCUUAGAUCUCGUAUGUGAUAGGUGUCGGGGCUUGAAUAUGGGCACUCAACCUGUUUGCUUGACUUGGGUUCAAACCCAGAUUUGCAAAAUCAGAUCAAACCCGCAUAUUUGAUGACGAUUCCAGCUUGGUUUUCGUGUGUUUUAAGCUGUGUUUUUUAUCUAUCUUACUCCUUGCAUGUUGUAUUUUAACCUUGAUGUUUUAGUUCCACAUAAUAUUGCUCAUGAGUUGAGAUUGAAGACUGCAAACAUGGCCUGAGGAAGCUGAUUGGGGCUAGUUUAAUGCACACCAAGUGUUCGACAAAAUGCUCAAACUAAGCUUCGAUCUUGAAACGGUCGAUUUGAGCUUGAUUAUUGUGAUAUUCAUGUGCUGUGUUACUCCAUGUUAGCAUAGAUCGGUUUAAGGAAUUAUUAUUUAAAAAAAAAAUUAAAAAAGAGAAAAAUAUGAAAAUUUCAAAAAUAUCAAAAAAUGUUAGAUAGCAUCAAAUUAGGAUAUAAAUGACAUAUAUGAAAUUUUCCUAAUUUUAAAAGGUCAUUUUCCUAAUUUAAUGCUAUUUUGGUAUUUUAUAACCAUUUUUGUAAAUAAUCCAUUUUGUGUAGAUUAAAACUAUUUAAAGCAAUUUCAUGCAUAUAGAGUAAUUUCAUGCAUAUUUGAACUCUCAUUUUGCUCAUGGGGGUCCUGUCCCGGGGCGUGAUAACAAAGCCAUGUAAUAUUAUUUGCCCGACUUGUAUCGGGUUUACCUUUUCCGCGUUUAUUUUCAAGUCAUUUCAAUUUCUUGGAUGUUUACUUACGCGCCGCUUUUCAUUAUUGUGAGUGUAAAUUUCUCUUCUAAAUUAUGUUAGGAUUAGUCUAGACAUUAAAAAAAAAACUACAAAAACAUUUGCAUGGACACUUAGUGGUUUCAUAAAGAUUAUAAUUGGUAAUCAAGAUUGUAUGGCCAUUUAGAUAAACAACCUUCCAAGUUAGUGGUACCGCGAGGGCGCUAAUAGAAACAUUGGCGUAAACAAGUCCCCGUUCCUAGAAAUCUCUGGUUGCGUAUGAAUCGAGACAACACUCCCGUGUCUUGAUUGGUUUCUAGCCGACCUCAAUAGGCUAGUGGCGACUCCUAGAAUUACAUAGGUUGUUAAUAACUAAAAAACGAAUCCAACGUCGCGCGGGGUAUGGGCUUGGGAGAGCCCGCGCCUAAUCUAGGGCCAUUGGUCCACCUCUUUACGCAAAUACCCCUAAACCUUCUUCUUUUUCCCCGGACGGAAAAAAAGAGGUCGUGACAGCCGUAAGCAGUCAUCGAGACAAUGGUAUAUACGUUUUUCAUAGUGCCAAAAUGGCAUAUGAUUUUACAAUGAUAGAUGAGGAUCAUUGUGUAUAUAUCAAAAGAUACAAGGAUCAAUUUGUGAUCAUAUCACUAUAUGUUGAUGAUAUACUAAUUGCCAGAAGCAAUAUGGAGUUUGUCAAUACUGUCAAAAGUUGGUUGUCUUCCAAUUUUGAAUUGAAGGAUAUGGGAUUGUAAACCCAUAGAUACUCCUAUUGCAAAAGGUGAAUGAUUGAGCCACAGACUGUGUCCAAGGACUCCACAAGAGAAGGAACAAAUGAAACAUGUUCCUUAUGCUAGUGCUGUUGGAAGCUUGAUGUACAUUAUGAUGUGUACAAGACCUGACAUAUGUUUUGCAGUUGGAAUGGUGAGUAGAUACCAAUCCAAUCCAGGUACAGCACAAUGGAAAGCCGUUAAAAGAAUACUAAGGUAUCUAAAGGGAACUGCUGAUUAUACGCUGAGUUAUAAAGGAAAUGAUCUGCAACUCAAAGGCUAUUCUGAUGCUGAUUGUGGGAGAAGAUUUAAAUGAAAGGAAAUCUACCUCUGGAUUUGUUUUCUUACCGAAUAAUGGCACCAUAUGUUGGAGCAGUAAGAAACAAAAGUGUAUAGCCUUGUCCACGAUGUAAAUUGAGUUCGUGGCAUUAUCAGCAGCAAUGUAAGAAAGUGUUUGGCUUAAGAGAUUUUUGGAUCAUUUAGGUGUUAUUGGAAGUGCUGCAGAUUAAUUGUUGGUUAACUGUGAUAGCCAAGCAGCAAAAGCGUACACCAAAGAUCCAAAAUAUCAUGGCAAGACCAAACAUAUAGAUACCAAGUAUAAUCUUGUCAAUGAUAUGGUUGCACGAAAAGAUGUGAACUUAGAGUACAUACUAUGCAUAGAAUGGUAACAGAUCCUAUGAUAAAGCCAAUACCUAGAGAUGUGUUUUGUGGCCAUAUGAAAUCUCUAGGAUUGCGUAGAGGCUAAUGUACUAAAUAUUGUAAUUUCCCUAAGUGUUCACAUUUGAUAAAUUUGUGUUUUCAUCAUUAAUGCCUAUGAAUCUUUGUUUGAUCUUUAUACAUCUUAAUGCUCUGUGCAUUACUUUAAGUUGAGAAGUAUGUCGGACAGAUAUAAGAUUAGCCCACUCACACGGGUAAUCGCCUCUAUUUACUGUGUGAUAAAUAGAGAUGAGACUGUUUUUAAGCUUAUUAUCUAGGUGAUAAUUGAGAGCUCAAGCUUAAAACACGUAUGUCGCCUUAACUAGGUGUUAAGAUGAGGAUAUAAUACUUACUAUGUCUGAAAGUAAAAUACCCCACAUAUUUUACUUUAUCUGUCUAAGAUGCCAGAUGUGAGUUCUGAUGAAUUUUGUGAAUGAGUAGAUAUGUGAACUCAAGUUAGACAUUGGAUAUGUCUGAACUAUCAUCUGUACGGUAUUGAAAGGUGUAGACAUACGCUCCAUGGGAAAGGAGUUAAUACCGUAAUACGUAUUUCAUACUACGUAUGCAUGAGACGACCAAUAAGAGUGGCAAAAGUUUGAUCUCAACUUUUAUGCCGUGUGAGACUCUUGAGGAAUAGAGUUCCUCAGUUUUAGUCCCCUCAGGACUCUUACUUAUUCUCAAGAUUUCUAUUUAGUGUUUGCUAUCUUAGGAUGUUGCCAAUGGUCAUGAGUUUGAUUCGAUCUAAUGGGGCAUUUCUAGAAAAGCAAGCUGAACUGAAAUUGAGAGUUUGAAAGAAAGAGGAAGAUCGAAUUUGGAGAAUCGCAUUGUAUUCACCGGUUAACCAAUUAUGACUGUCUUUGUGAUAAUCAUAAUUGUGAAUAUAUAUAUAUAUAUAUAUAUAUAUAUAUCAUUGUUUGAAAGAGAUCAAGAGAGAUAUAAAUGUGAUCGAUCGAUCUAGGGUACUGCAUACUAAAUCUACUCAGGAUGUGAUACCCAUUAUGAGCUGCUAUAUAUUCCUAACAGAUGUAUGGUAACAAGCUCUCAAAUUAUGCUGGUCGCACGGAUUAUUCACCGGUAUGAAUGUUGAAGAGAGGAAAAGAGGAUUCUGUUUGGCCCACCAUGUUAAGUGAGAGUCUAUGAUGGAUUUUUCUCUGAUGGGGUUGAGUAGGGCCUGUCCGCCCAUGUUGGUUUUGGACCACCAUGUGCGAGUGGGAGAUGAUGGAUUUUUUAUUUAUUGAUGGGCCUGAGUUGGCCCGUCCGCCCAAGUUGGGCCCAAAAAGCCCGGCCCACGGGAAUAGGGCCCGUGGAUGGGGGAAGGUAUAAAAGGGAGGAGAGAGAGAGAGAGAAGACACCCUUUGGCCAUUCUAACGUACGCUUCUCACUCUCUCUUUCCCUCCAAACGCUUAAGGCACGUUGUUUCCCUUUUCAAGGCAAAUUGACAUCAUCGAAUCAGAAUUUCUUCCUCGGUCUUCAGCAUUGGUGUUUAAUCUGUGGCUAACAAGGUACGCUCGAAUCCGUGGUGUGCUUUAAGAUCGGUGAUACGUGAUUUUCCCGGGCUUCGCUUCCGCAUUGAUUUAGGGGUUCGAUUUAGUGUCGAAUUCGGUUUUCGGGGAUCCGUUAUUCUCAACAGAGGCAACCCAAGUUUAAGUAGCAGCAUGCACUUUUUCUACUUCUCUAUGUAUUCUUACUCUUGAUGAAUGGCGUUGUUUGUAGCAUCCACUCACGAGUACCUUGCUAAUUUGGCAUCAGGUCAGGUUCUCUGUCUGCAAUAUCCGAGUGAAGUGGAUAUCGCGCGUUCCUUAUCAACACCGGUGUUUGGAGGAAUGUUUGCUAAGCAAGAAAACUCGUGCAGGGGACAACAGUGAGGAAUAUAGUACUUGUUCGGAAGAAUGUAAGGCACUGUCUCAUGACUUAUCAUCGAGUGAAUGCACAAAUUCUUACUGCAUUGAGAUAUUGUGCUUUUGUAAUACAUCACAUCCUCUAACAUGACAUCACAUGUUCAAUUUCUAUUCAUCGUAAAGGCAAAAAUUGAUAGCCACAAUCGUUCAUUGGUUAGGUCGAAGUCAGAGAUUGCUUGAGCCUAUAGCUGAUGACAAGUUGGUUGAUCGAGCGGGGGUUGAAGGGUGGGGGUGAGAGCUUUUGAUGGAAACAAGAGAGAUUCGUUGCUCAAAAUGCAAACAUUACCAUGAAGAAAAAAUUACAUUGUUUGUUAUGCCAAGAGGGUUCACACAAAACAAAAAUUAUAACGAAUGCCAUACAACAUUCAUUGUCAUUUAUAAAACAUGGACAUAAUGAGUCUAAUAGAAAACACCGAUGCUAUAUGAAAAACAUGUAAAAGCUUCAUAGAUUACAUUAUCAAUGAUGGUACAUGCUGAUAGUAUUAAUUAUAUUUUGCAUCUCAUUUCUACAAGAGGAGAACAAUUAGACAAUACAUGAUUUUGUAAACUUAUUGCCGUGGUCAAAUUAAUAACUGCUAGAAAUUAUCGGAGCACUUGACGAAGAUGAGACCAUUUCAAGUUCUAUCUCAUUGUUGUCAUCAUCAAUUGGUGCCUCUAUCGGAUACAAAAACGGUUUUGGAGGUAGUUGCAGUUUAUCAAUAUCUCCUUCAAGCAUAUCUAGAACUUUCCUCAUUGACGGCCGAUCAUUAGGGCUCAGCUGUAUGCACCAUAGCGCAACGAUUAUCAUCUUCCUUGUUUCUCUUUCCUCUUCUAUGACUUCUACCCUCUCAACCUCCUUUUCUUUGCUGAGUUGAUCAUAAAUCCACAAAGGAAAGUAAAUUUGACUCGAAUGCUCUGCAUGUGCAUUUAUAUUUCUCCUUCUACCGGCCAUUUCCAUCAACAUCAUCCCAAAACUGUAAACAUCGGCUUUAUAAGAAAUGCCACCAAUGUCUUUGUAGAAUAGCUCAGGUGCCAUAUAACCCAAGGUUCCUCUUGCUGCAGUCAACGAUACUAUGCUAUGACCGAUGGGAUAAAGUCUUGCAAGUCCGAAGUCAGAAAUUUUCGGAGUAAAACUUUGGUCUAGGAGAAUGUUGUGAGGCUUGAUAUCAAAGUGUAGAAUUUGCAUAUCACAUCCCCGAUGUAGAUACUCUAUCCCUCUAGCUAUGCCAAGAGAGAUCUCAUGCAUUUUCUUAUAAUCAAGAGGAUCAUCACCAUCCUUAUUCGAAAUGUGUUUAUCCAAAGAUCCAUUCGGCAUGAAAUCGUAGACCAAAGCUUGUUUGGAGUAAUCGAAGCAAAAACCAACAAGUUGAACUACAUUGACGUGGUGGAUCCUUCCAAUUGUGGCCACUUCACUAAUAAAAUCUUGGCCGUUAGAUUUUGGUUUGUUCAAAAUCUUAACCGCAACUUCAUUGCCACUUCUAAGGAUUCCUCUAUACACAGAGCCAUAUCCCCCCUCACCUAAUUUGCAUUUGAAAUUUUUUGUAAUCUUCUUGAUAUUUGAAUAAUAGUACCUUAUGGGCAGAAAGUUGUUGUGAGCUUGUAGGAAUUCUUCGAUGUUUGUGUCGAAUGCCCUGUGCCUUCUCAUCCACUUAUAGAUUAGAAGUAUCAGCACACAUAGAGCUCCGAGUAUGAAUCUUGCUGCGACGUAGCAGUUGGCUGCGUAGAAAUUGUCCAUAGAUUAGCGCACUGCAAUAAAUUUUUUAUAAACAUAAUUGUUUUUAAUCAGUGAUCAUCAUGGUUGUGAGGAGAAAAGGCCCAGCAGUCAUACCCAAGGAAAAGGCGAGGCUCUGACGUACAGGUGCCGCAUACCAAUGCCUGACCCACCCAGAAUUAGGGGUGCCUGCAACAGAUUAAUUAGAGUCGGUGAUCAAUCAAUGAAGAAUUAAAUUUAUCAUUUUAGCAGUUAAACAUAAAUAUAAUUUACUCUCCUUGACAGCGCUCAGAUCACAGUUAAUUUAAUUCACCUAGGGAAUCCAUGCCAUCGUAGCAUGACAUUUUCUCUUGAAGAAAAGCGAUUUUGCUUUUGUUCACCUAUAUAUACCAAAUGAUUCAUAAGUUCACGUCUCGCUCCGCGUAAUUCUGAUUUACAAACGUCAUUCAAUACGCGUGCAGUUUAUUCAACCGCAUAACAAUAACAGCCGUGCAAGGGACACGAGCAACAAUUAAAUCAACCAUUUCCCCCCAAACGAAAAUGAAGUAACAAUGUCAAAUCCAGAAAAGCUCCAAGAUUCGUAAAAUAAACGAGAGCAGUGCAUGCCGACCCUACUAAGAAAUCUAUUUAAACUUUUCAACUUAAGUGAUGUGGCAAUUUUUUCUUUUAUGUUUUUAAAGAAACUAGUGCCUUAAUGUGUGGAAUUUAUUAAAAAUACCCAAUUAAAACCUGCCACGUCACUUGGUAAGUAAAUUUUGAUCAGAUCUCUUAGUGAAGCUAGCAUUUAAGGAAAGGAGGAGGAGGAAGAAGAGAAGAAGAAAGAACAGCUUAAGGGAACAUCGCUUACGGAAAUAAUAGCCGCAAUCCUCCCUUCGGUAUCCAAAACUUAAGAAGUAACAUGGAAAGAAUCUUCCCUCAAAAUUGUAGGAUGGAUAGGAGAGAUUGAAUCCCUCGACCAUCAGGUUGUGGAGGUCCUUGUAUGGUAAGCUCCCAUUCUGAUUUUCUUUCCGCCCUGAGAUUUGAUUCCCUGUGAGUGCCAUCAUAAUUACGGUGCAAGAGUCCCUCAUAUCCCUUAGUCGUAAUUGCUGUACAGCGUAUGAGUACACCUUCAUUUGGGAAAUAUAAGGAGGUGUGCUGGCAGAGUAUGCGUCCUCAAUACAUGGCGUGACAUCAAUAUAAUUAGUAGAAGCGACAGGUCGUGGGCACUUCAUGAAGGCCACGGACUCUGAUGAGCGUGCAUCAAAAAUGUUGGAUGGAUCAUCCAUACUGAGGUUGAAGCGCGCCAAUGAGUAACGAGGAAGGGAUGAGCAAUCAUUCUUUUGCAGUCCAUCGUCAACCACCGUGAUAUUACCACGGAAUAUAUCUUUAUUAAAAGAGGAACUAUAAUGAAUCGACUUCACAUAAUAUUGGCCGGCAUGUAGAUAUAGAACAGUGCGGUUAUUUUCACAAGCUAGCUCAUAGAGAGAGUUACCGCAGUUUUUUGGAUCACCUUUCAAUCGAAAAGGAUAACUUAUAUUAUGGAUCUCACCGCAAGAUGAAGCACACAAGUGAUUCUUCUUCGCAUGGCAGCUCGUCCCUAACAAUAGCAGAACAUGAGAUAUGAGAAGUAAAACAGGGAGCAUGAAUAUCGAGCUGCGAGAAAUAAUCAUCUCUUUAUGGUUUGGUCUGAUGCAAUGGAAGUUUUAGCUCACUUGGUAAUGCGAGGGAUGCUUAAUAAAGGGUUGGGAGUCAUCGGUCAUCGAAAUGUCCAAGUCAACCCUAAAACAAAGUCUAGCGAAGAAAAACUUAAAAAGUAUGGCCCCGCAAAAACACGAUCUCGAGUGAUAGAUAGCUUUCACAUUCAUUAGGGAGGAAAUUUCUCUGCAUUUUCCAGAUUUGAUUUUUCUUGGCAAAUUAAUUCUCUCUAGAAAUUUAUUUUAGUAUCUUAAAAAAUAAUCGGUUUGUUUUGUACCCUAAACUCAAUCAAAAUCCUUUCAAACAAGGCAUCUGGCGUUCUAUUUUAUUUUCAAGGCCAAUAUUUCAUAAGUGUCGCUUCGUUAAAUUUUGAAGACGAAAAGGAAAAGGAUGAUGUAUUUCAUCAUAUAAAUAUUUUCAUUUUUGAGAAAAAAUAAAUUAGUAACCAAGAAAGAGGAUAAUGUUAAAUAACGGGUACAUAGAUUUUAACUUUUGUAAUGUCGCUUUCCACAAAAAUAGAAAGAAAAUAAGGAAUGGGCGCUUCUUGCUUAUGGAUGAUGUGAAACUUUAUGAAAGAAAGAAAGCAAUAUGGUAAAUUCUCAACUAGUGAUGGGACCGACACAUCUCGAUUAGAAACUCAAUUGCGUUGUCGUGGAUUGACACACGCAAGGACUAUAGAUGCAACAUUUGAAUUCACAAAAAUAAUGUGACGUUUACUUAUUCACUAUGCUUAAAUUUUAAAAUCACUAUCUUGUAAUUGUGCUAUAAUUAUGAAUAUGACCAUCGUCUCUUUUUCAUUAUUGAAUCACUUAAUGAAUGAACAUACUGAUCUCAACGAAAAAGGCAAUAUGAUCAUUUCUCAACCAAUGAUCAAUCAAUGUGGGUCUCGAUUAGAAAUUCACUUCCUUCGUCAUUCUUGACAUGCGCAAAGACUAUAGGUGUAAUAUUCACUUGCACAAAAAUAAACUAAUACGUACUUAUUCACUGUCAAUUGAAAUAUUAUUCUUGUGGAUUAGUCAAUCACUCGCCUAUAAAAUAAUCUCAUCUUUUUCUCGCAAUAAAUCUAACCAACCUAUUACAAUAUCCAAUUGAAACGAGCCACAUCACUCGGUAAGUAAAUUUUUAUACGAUCCCUCAGUAGAGCUAACAUUUAAGAAAAGGAUGAGGAUGAAGAAAGAAACAAAGAAAGAACUGGGAAAGUCAGCUUUCGGUAAUCAUGGUGUCUGCACCUCUCCCUUUGGUAUCCGAAACCUAAUUAGCAAAACUCGAAACUUGUUGGUGGCGAGAGUUUAUAAUUAGGAGAUAGUGAAUCCCACGACCGUCGUGUUGUGGAGGUCCUUAUACGAUGAGCUCGCACGAUUAUACCGAUCCUUUUUCCACCCUGGGAUAUAAUGCGGUAUUAAAGCCUUUUAUGGUUAUGGUGUAAGUAUCCUUGAUGUCCCCUACUUGGAGGUCAAACCCAUGUACAACGUAUGAGUACACCUUCAUUUGGGAAAAAAUAGGGGGCAUAUCGGAAGGAUAUGCUCCCUCAAUACAUGGUUCAGUAUUGGCUUACGAAGUAGAAGCAAGGGGCUGUGAGCACUUCAUGAAGACCACCGGCACAGCUAAGAACCACAUGGAUCAUGAUCACUAAAGUUGGAGGGCGCCAUUGAGUAAUGAGGGAGGGAUGAGCAAUUACCUUUUUGCAGUCCGUUGUUUCGCCAUCAAAUAAUUAUUUGCUAUGAUUGGAAUGGUAGUAAAUUGAUUUCACAUAAUAUUGGCCAGCAUAUAGAUAUAGAACAAUGCAAUUAUUUUCACAAGCUAGCUUAUGUUCAUAGCGGCCAUAUCCAUUUGGGUUGCCCUUCAAUUGAAAGGGAUAGCGUACGUUAUGGAUUUCGUCGCAAGAUGAAGCAGCACACAAGUGAUUCUUCUUUGCCACAACUCGUUCCUAGUAGUAGAACACGCAAUAUGAGAAGCAAAGCACAUAACAUGCAUACGGAGCUCAGAGACUGAAUCAUCUCUCAAUCAUUUGAUCUGAUGCAAUGAAAGUUUUAGCUAUUUGGUAAUGCGACGGAGGCACAGUAAUAUGAAUGAAAAGAGUUGAGAGUCGUUGGUCAUACAUAUGUCCAAUUUAACCACUAAAACAAAGUCUAGCGAAGAAAAAGUGGGUAUCACGGAGAAAUUGCAGUGAAGGUGACCAAAAACCGUGUUGGAAUUGUCGGUCAUGCAAAUGUUCAAGUCAUCCAAUACAAUUCUUUUCGUCUUCACAAUUUAUUGAAGCGAUACUCAUGGAAUAUUGACCUUGAAAAUAAAAUAAAACGCCAAUACCUCACUCGAAAUGAUUUUUUUAUUCGUUUUAACGCACAUAACAUUCAAAUUGAUUCUUUUUCAUGGUACGAACAGUCAAUUUUGCCAAGAAAAGUCAAAACUGCAUUCAAUUUUGCCAAGAAAAGUCAAAACUGGAAUUGCAGUCCUCGUAGGCAAGGUGACAAAACACGGUGUUGGAAUUAUUUAUGGUUAGCUUUCACAUUGAUUAGUCAAGGUGACAAAACACAAUGUUGGAAUUAUUUAUGGUUAGCUUUCACAUUGAUUAAAAAAGAAGCUUCUCUGCAAGUCCAGUUUUGACUUUUCUUGGCAAAAUUGACUGUUAGUACCAUGAAAAAGAAUCGAUUUGAAUGUUAUGUACACUAAAAUGAAUAAAAAAAAUCCUUUCAAGUGAGGCAUUUGCGUUCUAUUUUAUUUUCAAGGUCAAUAUUCCAUGAGUAUCGCUUCAAUAAAUUGUGAAGAUGAAAAGAAAAAAAAGAUUUAUUUCAUUGUAUAAGCUUUUUCAUUAUUGACAAAAAAACAGAAUUGGUAACAAAGAUAGACUAUUAAAGGGAAUAUUAACUUGUAUAAUGUCACUUUUGAAAAAAAUAAAAGGAAAAAUAAGAGUUAGUGCUUCUUGGAUGGUGUAACACUUUAUGAAAGAAAGAAAGCAAUUCAAUAAAAUGUAGCGAUGGGACUGAGGCGCAUUGAAUAAAAACUCACUAAUUUCGCUAUACAUGCAAUAUUCAAGUUCAUUAAAAAAAACAAUGUUUAGUUAUCCACUAUUAACUUCAAUAUUACCAUCACUCUCCCGUAAUUGUGUUAGAUAUAUGAACAAUACUAUCAAAUAAAAAAAAAUUAUUAUUGCUUGUUGUUGACACUUAAAUUUUUCUUUUUUAUUUAGGAUUUAAUCAUAUAGAAAAUUAGGGAUUAAUCUCUAAAAAAAGUAAAAACUAAAGUAAAUAAUUUUCAUUAAAAUAUAUCACAUUUUCAUUAAAUUGCAUCGCAUAUAGACAUUAGGAACACUUGCAUUACUAGUAUUAAAAAAAUUAAAAAAAUUAACCAAAAAAAUGCAGCCGGGCCGCGAGGGCCAGCCUUAGCCCGGCCCCUCCUUCCUUUCUCUUUUCUAUUUUCCCCCCGUGCGGCCCAGCUUGCUUCUGUUUCUUUUAUUUCCCCCGCGCGGCCCACCUUUCUUCUUCCGCAGCCCAGCUCGCUCUCAUUCCUUUUGCCCCCUCCUUCCCUAGCUUGGAUGUUAGCUCCAGGACAGAGCAGAGAGAGGGUCGCCGGCGGAAGGACGCAAGGCUGCGCGCGACGUUCGCCCAGGAAUGUCCUGCGGUACGAAGCCAGCUGGUCUUUUCCGUGAAGAAAGGGAGAGAAAGGCGGCAAAGGAAAGGGGGGUCUCUCUGGUUUUUUUGGGUUUGUUCGGCUGAGGAAGAGCAACCGAGAGAGAGAGAGAGAAAGAGAGAGAGAGCUGGUGAGAGUGAGAAGGCAAGCUCGAGAGAGAGAAUGAGUGAGCCAGAGAAGAGAGGGAGCUCGAGGGUGGCUGCUUUUGGAAGGGUGCGGCUGAAAACCAAGGAGAGGCUAGAGCCGCUCGAGAGGGGAGACCGAGAAGGUGGAUAGCGAGGAAGAGCGGGAGAGAGAGGCGACUGUGUUCUCGAGUUCUUCCGGGGAGGCUGGAGAUAGCGAGAGCAACAGAGAGAGUGAGAUCCGAGAGAGUGAGCAAAGGGUGAAGCGGAGAGAGAACCGAGAAUGAGCGGAAGGAUGGACCGAGAGAAAGCGAGACCCAGGAGCCGAACUUCGUUCUCGGACAAGCGUUAUGCAGCCAUCCCCAACAUAAACCGGCGAUCUCCAGCCAACACCCUCGAGCACGUGGUGAGUUUUCUUUGGGUUCGAUCCACUUUUAUCUCGAUGAUCCUGGCUCGGUGCAACGUCGAGCCGGCCGACCGUAGCUCGUUUCGCUUCAGGCUCACCUUCUGGCCGUCGUCGCCGAGCCAGGUAGGGAUAUUCGUGGUCAAACACUUCUCUCUGGGAACUCCGUUGCUUGGUUUCAUUUAAGACGGAACUGAAACGAUAGCUGGGUCUCGUUCUCCCUAGUCCACCAGCAUGCUCGAUUUGAACGAGCCGUCCCUCUUGACGAGUUUGAGUCGUCACUUGCUGCUUUCUUUUGAGUAAAUGACUUGAGGAGUGCUGCCAUUUUCGUUCUCUGUUGAUGGUUGCUUGAAUAUGCUCAAGACUCCUCCCUUUCGUUUCAGGAACACACCCUUUAAAUUCCCCCCUGGAGUUUCUGCAUGAAAAUUGAUUAUUCACUGGUUUAAUAGCACGCGAGUAAUGACUGGACUUUAUCUAUUUAGAUAUGGUGGCAGACUUUUGGCUAGUUAUGCACUGUUCAGAAUGCCAGAUUCAUUUGUAGAGGUUUAUAGAGGAAGAAUUUUGUUUACUGUUUUUCUAAAUUAUACAACAGGUAUUUAUAAUUUGCAUUUCUAAAAUGUAAUUUCCUUUCAAUUUUGGGAGAGAAGGAUCGCAUUGUUUCUUGGUGCAACUGGGCAGAAGUUUCUAUCUGUGUAUUGCUCGUGUGGCACUUAUAUUGAUUUUUCCUCACAGUUUACUUGGUGACACCCAAUCACAUAUCGUUUGGCUACAUUUUGCUCCUCCUAUGUUGGAUCAUGGGAAGACAACUCGUUGAAAGGACGAGAAGACAUUUUUAGUUUUCAUAAAAAGUAUAUGCAAUCACUGUGUUUAUCUUCAUAUACAGCUUGAGCAAUUUCUCCACCCUUGAGAUGUGGUUUUCGGGGUUGAUUGAUCUUCAGUUUUACUUGGCCUCCAACUCAUAAGCUUUGCUAUUGCAGAAUAUUUGGCAGUCUAUUGCAAUACUGAUUGUGAUGCAGCUUUACAGCUACGAGAGACAGAGCAAGUAUAUCCAAUCUGAUGACUCCAAACUUAUGGAAUUUAAAGUACUUGGAUUUAUUAAGAGUUUCCUCAUUUGGCUCAGUGACAAGAUAGUGUGUAUAGCAAAGUUCUAUGCAUCAUUGUCACCAAUUAGUCUCUUUGGUUUCCUUUAUCUACUCGGUCUUGUCAUUUGUUCCCUUUCACCUAAAGCAUCUCGAAUCCCAUCAAAGUUAUUCCUUCUUUAUACAGGAAUUCUGGUGAUGACAGAAUAUCUCUUUCAGAUGUGGGAUGCCCAGGCAGGAAUGUUUCCUGGACAGAAUGACUUUAGUUUGGCCAAGUUCUUGGGUUUUGAGUUAUUUCAGUCAGGCUUUUGGGGUCUAGAAUUGGGUUUAAGGGGGAAAAGUGCUGGUGAUAUCUGCUCAAUACAAUGUCUUCCGUUGAUUGCAAAAAGUACCAACUCACAUUUUUUCCAAAGAUUACACCAAAGAACCUUGCCCUCUGUUUGUAUCAGCAGAAGAAGUGUUUGGGGAUUUUUCGAAUUCAAACGGGGAAAGCAAGCCACCUGCAGAGAAUCUUCAAAGGGAAGGCUCCGGCGACGGCGAGGGGGAGCCUCGAGAACGGCAGUAGCGGCGGCGACCCCCGCAGCGGCCGGCAGGCGUACAGGAGCACGAGGACGGUGGUGGAGGUGCUGCGGGAGCUGGAAGUGGACAUAGUGGCGCUGCAGGACGUGAAGGCGGAGGAGGAGAGGGAGAUGAAGCCGCUGUCGGAGCUGGCGGCGGUGCUGGGGACGAGCUACGCGUUCGCCGAGAGCUGGGCGCCGGAGUACGGCAACGCCGUCCUCUCCGGGUGGCCGAUCAAGCACUGGAAGGUCCAAAAGAUAUUCGACGACACCGAUUUCAGGUCCGUCAUUUUGUUUUGUUUUAUUUUAUUUUAUUUAUUAAUUUAUUAAUUUCCACAUAUUUUUUACCUGUUAUUCUUGCUAUCAUUUUCGUAAUUAUGGUGACGAUGAUAUGCUCUCUUUUUCAUUGAGCAAGUGGUCUUCCUAGGCGAUUUCGGAAUUUAAAAGAUAUUUUCAUUUAUUUAUUGAGGCGUCCACCGUUGAAAGCGAAGUUUGAUAAUAUAUCAUAAAUUAAUAUUUCCACUGGACACAUUAUAUAAUUUUUUUUAUAUUUUCCAAGUGGAAAGAUUAAUUUCGCAGACCAUCUACCACAGUGCAAAUCCACUUCGGACAGUUGAAAUUUUCGUUGAAAUUAAGGUAAGGUGGAUGUAAUAAAAAUUCACAAGACCAAAAAAUAAAAGCAAAAACAUAAGCUUUUGCCUAGCCAUCAGAAUUUGUGGAUGAAAAUCUUGCUGUCACUUGGUUUAUAUUUUGUCUUCUUUUUUUCCCUACCCUUUUUUAAACUGUUCUAUUUGGAAUUAUAUGAAUGGAGUUGUCCAGGAACUGUUCUGGGAAGAAUUUGGAAUAUUAUUCACGAGAACCCUACCACCAAAAAAAUUCAAGAAUUCCCCAAGGCUUUUCUCCCACAGCCUGUUUGCCUUUGUACAACUUAAGGAAAGCUAUCUACAACAACUAUGGUGGGCCUUUCCAAGGAUCCCAGCACCAGCUGUGAGCAAUGCCAGUCAGAAGUAAAAUAUAAAUUAAAUUUUUAAAAAAACAACAACAACAACAAUAACAAUAAUAAUAAUAAUAAUAAUAAUAAUAAUAAUAAUAAUAAUAAUAAUAAUAAUAAUCAUCAUAAUCAUCAUAAUAAUAAUAAUAAUAAUAAUAAUAAUAAUAAUAAUAAUAAUAAUAAUAAUAAUCAUAAUCAUCAUCAUAAUCAUCAUCAUCAUCUGUUAUAACUAUUCGAAAUUCGUGCGAGUGUGUGUGAUGAAAGACUGUCUUGGACCUCUUUCAUUCCAAUUACAUAUAUAUUUUUUGCGCUUGAGUAUUUAAAUAAGGGGGGGAAAGGGGAUAAAUGAAGGAUAAGAUCUAAGGCGUACAUUAAAUGAGGGCAGGGUAAGGUGUAUGUAGGUAGGACAGUAACAUGGGGAGGAUUUUGCUUUUGCUUUAUUUUAUGUAUUUGCCAAAUCAGAUGCUUGACCUGAAGACUAUACAAGGACUACUCAUCUUCAAGGAAAACUACAUUUAUUUUAAGCGAGACAGACCAGAUAGAAUCAACUUGUUUGAGACACAAUUGCUUGUCAUGGAGUCAAUUUCCAAGGCUUUUGCGUUCGAUUAAUUAAGCCGCGCCUUAGAUAGUGAAGGGAUUAUGUGCUUUCGUUGUGCGAAAAUUCAGAAAAAGAACAAAAGGGUGGAUUGAAAUAUAAUUGAUUGACAUAUUAAAUUGAUUAGGAAUUGAAGUGGCUGUGAACUCGAUAUGUUUUAUUACACAGGAAUGUUCUGAAGGCAACAAUAGAAGUGCCCCAUGUUGGGGAAGUGAACUUCCAGUGCACCCACCUGGAUCAUCUCGACGAGAACUGGCGGAUGAAGCAAGUCGGCGCCAUCAUCCAGUCGAGCGACUCUCCCCACAUCUUGGCUGGUGGCCUCAACUCUCUCGAGGAGACCGAUUACUCGCAAGAGCGGUGGACCGACAUCGUCAAGGUAUGUACAUUUCUGUCAUGUUUGAUGUGAUAUUCGUUAGCACAUCAAACUCGAUUACUAAAUAGCUUAAGCUACGGCGAUUUUGUAAUCAUGGGCACAUGUGUUUGUUACAGUACUAUGAAGAGAUGGGAAAGCCGACCCCAAAGGUUGAAGUCAUGAGGUUUCUGAAGAGCAAGCAGUACACAGAUGCUAAGGACUUUGCUGGAGAAUGCGAGUCCGUGGUCGUCAUUGCCAAAGGACAAAGUAAGGACUCACUUGUUCGCUUUCCCAUCUUUCAAUUUUUCUUUUUCGCUCUAUCAAAUGGCUAAUCUAAGGUGCUUUUCGAGCAAGAUGCUCCUCUUGCUCGAUGAUCACAUGAUUGGCUUGAAUGGACGGAAAUUCAUAACAUCUGAAGCAUGAUGAUCAUGUUGAAUAUAUACAUCCGUUGUUGUUAUCACUUUGUCGAUAUCAAUCUUUGAUGUGAAAAUCCGUGUUAUAAAAAUUGAAGUCCAAAGUCUUUUUUACGAGUGAUUAUUGUUUGAAUAUGUAAUUUGAAACUGUUUAUUCUAUUGCAGGUGUGCAAGGGACGUGCAAAUACGGAACGAGGGUGGACUACUUACUGGCAUCACCAGAUUGUCCAUACAAGUUCAUUCCAGGGUCGUAUUCGGUCCUGUCAUCGAAAGGGACAUCGGAUCACCACAUCGUAAAGGUCGACGUAACGAAAUGCGAAAACAACCCUCCCCAUGAAAGCAAUGGGAACAACAAUAAAAUUACCAAGAAAAGGCGACGACAGUGCAAGCACCAGGCUGUUGUAAAGAUCUCAGGCACAGCUCCUCCUUCGAAGGGUAUAUGGACAACGAACACAUUAAGCAAAGUCGAAUGACAUUACAUUUAUAUCUCCCUUUUCUUUCCACUCUUUUCUCAGCUGAUGCUCCUGUUGCUGCUGUUGAGUGAACUUGGGCAUGCUGGCUUCGUCAAUCUCUGUGUAAAUCUUUGAUUGUUUUGUGCAUCUUGUCUUCUUUGUUUUUUUUUUUUCUUCAGUUUAGCGUUGAAGAGGGGAGGGUUCUGGUGUGAUGGCUUCCUCACAUCUGUAUAGAUUUCGACACGACAGAAGUGAAUUCUUACGUUUCAACUAGGCAUUGGAGCUAAGCGGUUCUGCCAAGUUCUUUUUCAGUAUUUUAUGCCUUUUUUUUCCGCUUGUAAUCUUAGCUGCAAGAUUCAGAUUAGUUUUGUCGAGGGCGACAUCUCAAGUUGACUUUGCUGAGGUUGAGGUUAGAGAAUGCGAUCUUGUAUCUUUACAUUUAAUUGGAAGUUGAAACGUUUUAGAUUAAAAGUCCUUGGAAUAAAAUUGCAAAUUUCGAAAAUUGAUUUUUUUUUUUUUUGGUUAAGUUGGACAUCAAGUGAUUGAUAAAAGACCCAAAGAUUUCAAAUGAAAUACCUUUAAAAAGCAAAUAAGGAAAAAAAAAAAAAAAGCUGCGAAGUCUGGUAAUUAUGAAUUCUAAACAUAUGUGACAGUAGUAAAUGUCUUCAUUCUUUUUUCUCCAGUUUUGAAAUUAGCAUUGGAAAGAAGAAAAAUGGUAAGUUAGUGCAAUCUACUUCGACAUCUUAACAAAUACCUUCUGUGAUCUCUAAAUGGAGCCUUAAUGAGCAUUAUAAGUAAAAGUGUAAUGAAAAGAGAAAGAAAUAGAUUUUCUAUAUAAUAGACAUUGUUGGCUGAUGUAUCGUGCUAAUUAGCUUAUGAAUAAAAAACUGCAUCUUCCUUAUAAUGGUUGGCAAACUGCACCCCUUGCAUCAGCAUUGUAGAGGACUCAAGUAUCUCUCAAUUGGCGUAUACUCUUCAAUUGAUCCUCCUUGAUGUAAUUUAUAUCGAUUGAAAUAUUUAUUUUGAUUUUGCUUGGGAUCUCAAUUUAAAAAAUCAUGGGAUCUAUAAAGCUUAGAUAACAACAAGAGGAAUUAAAAAAAAAAAAAAAAACAGUUAAGACAUUGCAUCAAUAUCGUUGAUCGGUAAGAAUCCUGGUACUUGCGACCUUGCAGGUCUGCUACUCGGGACCUCACUAAUAUAUGACAUUAAAAAUAAAAAUAAAUUUUAAAACUUUUUUUUAAUGGGACAAAAAGAUAAUUAAUCAUUAAUAUUUGAUACUUCUGCCGUUUGUUUAAGGGCUAUGCUAGUAGGUCACAUGACACGUCCAAUGACGUUUUCACCGCACAUGUUUUUUUUUUUUUUUUCUAUAGUGAUAUAGUCAGUUAUUAAAAUGUUGUAUUUUUUUCCCCUUUUGUUGCAAAUUUCCCUUCUAUAAAUCAUGAACACGAACACGAGCACAAAAUUUUUUCAUCGAAAUAAGUGGUCUAUUUAGCACGUGUUGAUACCUUUAAUUAUUUUAUAUAUCGUGAAUAAACUAUUAAGUGAUGAUUGGACAAAUUAUUAAACAUAAAAAUCUCUUGACGAAAGUAUCCUAAAUUAUCUUGCGAGUGUAUGCUGAAAAUCUAGACAUACAUUAUUGUAUUUUAGGGUACAAGAUUGGCUCUCUCUUUGUCACUGAUUUUGUAAGUGUCCUAUUGCCUUUGGAUGGUAAUUCUUUUUGUAACCGUUCGACUUUAAAAUCGGCAAUGACCAGGAGUAACCAUCAUUGAUCAAGCCCUCUUAAGUGAACACUUAAAAAGAAUUAGUCUCUUAAUCGUUGGAAUUGUGUUAAAUCAGAGGCAUUGUUGGUAGAUAUCAUGAAUAAUGGGAAAAUUUUCAAAUAAAUCUAUUGCACUUUAGCCAAUUAAGUCAUAAAUCUUUUAAUUAUGUCAAUUGAAUCCUCAACCUUUUCACAUUUUGCCAACUAAGUUUAUUAGGCCAAUUUUAAGAAAAAAUAAUUGAUGUGAAUGCCAGCUAUCUUAUGUAAGAUGGUCGAUACUAAUGUUGGCAAAUUUUUAUAAUUUUUUUAAAGAAUGGAUUUUUUUAAUAUAUAUAUAUUUAUUUAUUUUACCGUAGCUUGUGAGAGUUGUCGGGUCCUUGCAACUACUAGCAAAGACAGUGACCCUUGCCGGACAUGGCGAAAAAAAGUAAAGGAGGAAAAGAGAAGAAAAGAAAAAAUGGAAAAAGAAGAGAAAAAUGUUCAUAAAAAUUAAAAAAAAAUGUUUAAAAUAUUUUAAAAAUUCUCCACGUUAGCGCCACUUGUGUCAUGUAAGAUAACCCGUGUCCAUGUCAGUGAUUUCCUAACAAAAUUGGCUAGAUGAACUCAGUUGGCAAAAUGUGAAAAUGUUUAAAAUUCAAUUGGCAUGGCUGAAAGAUUAAUGACCGAAUUGGUAAAAGUACAAUGAGUUUUUUCCGGUAAUUUUCCCAUGACUAACUAGCAUCUCUCUUCCAUCCUGAUUCUGAUCAUAGUUUAAACAGGGCAAAGUCCCAAACUUAUCUAAAGAACUUAAAUCUCCAAAAGAGAUGCAAUAUCUAGUAUAAAGUUCACACUUUAUGACUUGUGUCCAAUCACAUAGCGUUGCUGGAACAGAUAGUUUGGAGACAUGUUUCAGCUGGUCUUCUUAUAUGCUAAACAUGAUAUCAUAAACAAACCACUAAGAAGGUUAGUUAGUAACCUUUUUUUUAUCGUUUGCCAAGCAUGUCGUCUCCAUCAUCUUUCAAUAAAUUCUCAAGUGGCAUUUGUAGAGAAACGUUUUCAUCUCGGCUCACUGGCAAACUGAAAAUUGUAAUGGUCAUGAGUAACGAUAUUUAAAAGCACUCGUGUAGUUCUUCGCCUGUUAGUAUGCUAAACAUGGAAAAUGUCGAAUCAACAUCAAUUUAACACUGUCUUUACUCGAAUAGCUACAGAACUAUGUAAGAAAACACAAGGAGCAAGAAGAGAAUCCCGAAGCUCUAGACAUGGCAUGACCAUGAAAACUCCACCGAGAGCUGGUUUUUGGUCCUCGGAGUAGAUGUGAAAAUGUUGCAGAAUUAAAAAAUAAGCAAAGAUUAUUCGUAUCUAGCACUGUAAGCUUGCUCGAUAUAGAGUGAAACAAAGGGACAUUGCAUAGAGUUUGCACCUAUAUGAAGUUCAUGAUGGCCGGGAGUAAUCCGCGCCACAUGACCUCAACUUAAGUGCAUCGCCGUAUCAAUAAUCAGUUCUUCCACAAGUGAAAUUGAUACGCAAUUUACACCCGAAUUGUCCUCUAUUCACCUUUCACUUGGGGAUGGUUUUCCAUGAAUCUCUUCGAGCUCCUUGAGCCUGUUAUCGAGUGCUCUUCUAAGUGAGGCCAUCUGUAUAUGAUCGUUUGCUUCUGGAAGUCGGUUUAUGGAGACCUUGAAGUUCAGCCUAUGAAUUUUGCUGUACACUAGACGGGUCCUGUUGUCGUACUUUGAACACUUAUGUGAGGCUUCAAUUGUUCUCGCCUUCCUUUCAUGGUGCAGAAGAGCAGCAAAUGUCAAAGGAAUUGGAAGAGACAGUUCCACAGCCUCCAGUCACAAUGAAUGGUCUUUCUCAUCAGGACGAUUUUCCAAUGAGCGUGAUGAACUGCAGGAAUAAGUAAGAAACUCGAUUCUUGAGAUGUUUCUGUCUCAUAUCGUUUACUUUUUCUCCAUUGCGUCUAACAUAGUACCUACUCUAGUGAUUAGCUUAACUUUUCAUUUCAAUCUGAAAGCUACUCACCUACAUUUAUAGGAUUCUUAAUAUAAAUUACCUGCUUGUGCACACUAUCUUACUUGGCGAAUUCUGUCAUCUGCGCUAGUUUAAAUACAUGCAUCAUUCGAGAGCGCAAGUGCCUUUGAUGGCUUAUGGCCUGAGGCAUGGCGUAAUUGUUUUUUUGCCUCGUCAAAAGUGUUGCUUCAGAGGACCUGAAUAUUCUUUUAAUAGGAAUCGUCUGUUUAGAUGAUCAUAAUUGCUACCAUUGGUAGAACACACUACCAAUAACAACAUGAUAGUCGUGGUGUGCAUUCUAGUCGAACAACAUAGUUUCAACUUCGAGUUAUGAUGAUAACUGUGCUCGCACUUGUGGUUCUAAAAUGUUGAUGAGCAGAGCUGAAUCUGACAAGCUACUGGCCAUUCCUGUCGGUUUUAUUGGAUCAGAAGAGGCGGUAAGGUCUGCUCCACAUCUUGUACCUGGCGGUAAUCUUGCUUGUCCUUCAUUGGAAGAACAAGGAAUGAGAAUAAAUGCUGCAUUAGACGCUGCACAUGCACCAAUUUCUCAUCUCUCGAACCUCAUUGCCGACGGCCACUGGGCUGCGAACUUCAGGGGACCUUUCCAACCAUCAGACUUUUAAUGGCUCGAAGCUUGAGCCACUUGGAUUCAUACCCUAUCCCUUACUUUCUCUGAAGGUAUUUAUGAUAUUUAACACUUAGCUCGACAUUCUGCGUCGUCGAUCUUACUUGGUUUGGACUACCUACUGGCGAAUCUCUUCAUGUAAAGGUUUGGCUUGGAAUAUUACUUGUCAGCAUAGUUGCAUAGACAUGGCGGUUCUGUUCUUUUACCCAUCAGUGCAUUCGACUCGUGGUGCAACAAAUCUGAAACAAGCUUUUAUAUGCUAUUUGAGAGUCAGCUUUCAGCAGUGAUCUCGAACAAUUUCGUGUUCUCCAAACCGAGACUUGUUCAGAGUCAUUGAAAGCCUUCAAUUUCUAACCUUGUACUAGGAAGGUCCAUCCUGCUUUAUCUGUUUCUAGAUACUUUAAAAACCAUCUAAAGUAAUUGAAAAGACCAUGCGGAAAAAGUUAAUUGCUGUUGUACUUGGCGAGGCAACCCAAGUUUAAGUAGCAGCAUGC
This 27483-nucleotide long non-coding RNA is filed under the name Eucalyptus grandis. Its description in RNAcentral is "long non-coding RNA (EGRA_LNC004711)". The record is from RNAcentral. Lineage: Eukaryota; Viridiplantae; Streptophyta; Magnoliopsida; Myrtales; Myrtaceae.